This 370-nucleotide ribosomal RNA is filed under the name uncultured bacterium. RNAcentral's name for it is "bacterial SSU rRNA". It matches the Rfam family "Bacterial small subunit ribosomal RNA", at positions 30 to 404 of the family's 1533-position model. The record is from RNAcentral.
AUUGAACGCUGGCGGCAUGCCUUACACAUGCAAGUCGAACGGUAACGGCGGGCAACCUGGCGACGAGUGGCGAACGGGUGAGUAAUAUAUCGGAACGUGCCCAGUAGUGGGGGAUAGCCCGGCGAAAGCCGGAUUAAUACCGCAUACGACCUACGGGUGAAAGGCGGGGGAUCGCAAGACCUCGCGCUAUUGGAGCGGCCGAUAUCAGAUUAGGUAGUUGGUGGGGUAAAGCCUACCAAGCCUACGAUCUGUAGCUGGUCUGAGAGGACGACCAGCCACACUGGGACUGAGACACGGCCCAGACUCCUACGGGAGGCAGCAGUGGGAAUUUUGGACAAUGGGCGCAAGCCUGAUCAGCCAUGCCGCGUGC